Molecule: long non-coding RNA, 773 nt
Filed under: Pongo abelii (Sumatran orangutan)
Lineage: Eukaryota; Metazoa; Chordata; Mammalia; Primates; Hominidae
Description: lincRNA
Source: RNAcentral
AGGCUCUUCACUGAAAAGAAUGCCAAAUGCCUCUGGAAGUAAUAAAGAGACUGAACUAAUCUAAAAUUCUGUUUGAAACACUCAAGUCAUUUGGAACCAAUAUAUGUUGUCAUUAUCCCAUUCCAGUCUAUCCUCAUUCCUGUCCAUCCUUAAUUACCACAUUAUUUGGCUGUAAAGCCAGCAAAGAAAAGGAACAGAGCCUACAUCAGAGCUUUUAUAUGAAGGAAAUACUGAAAUUGGAUAUGACACAUCAAAAAUAUUUAAAUAUGAAACUACAGAGACUCUGGCUGAGUUGCAGCCUCUUCAGUUCACACGCUAACAGAACUCAGUCUUGAUGAGUGUUUACAGAAAAUUGUCUUCAUUGUCAACCACACUCCACAAAAUGAUGGCUAAUUUGACUUUUACAGAUUUAAAAAGUCGGAAAGCAUUUGAGGUUGCCUGCCAACUCCACAGAACUCUUCAUUAAUCAAUAAAUAAAGUUUUAUUUAAUUUUUUCACAAAGAGAACUUUGCGGUCAUGAACGCCUGCUGUCUGCUCCAUUAAAAAUAAAGAAAUCUUCUAAAGAGACUCUCUCAAACAUAUUCAAAUACAGGACUUGGGAAGAUAUUUCAUUCUAAUUUAGGAGUACAUAAUUAAUAUACUUCUUCGCAGCUAGCAUUUAAUGUCAUUGCUUUUAUGGUUUAUGAUGUAGUUUGUUUCUUUUUAUUUAACAGAAAGGUCAAUGUGACUAAUAAUUAGAACUAUGACUGAGAGAAGAAGACUGUAAUUAGACU